GGAUGAAGAACGCAGCGAAAUGCGAUAAGUAAUGUGAAUUGCAGAAUUCAGUGAAUCAUCGAAUCUUUGAACGCACAUUGCGCCCCCUGGUAUUCCGGGGGGCAUGCCUGUCCGAGCGUCAUUACAACCCUCAAGCUCAGCUUGGUGUUGGGCCCCGCCGCCCCGGCGGGCCCUAAAGUCAGUGGCGGUGCCGUCCGGCUCCGAGCGUAGUAAUUCUUCUCGCUCUGGAGGUCCGGUCGUGUGCUCGCCAGCAACCCCCAAUUUUUUUCAGGUUGACCUCGGAUCAGGUAGGGAUACCCGCUGAACUUAAGCAUAUCAAUAAGCGGAGGA
RNAcentral lists this unclassified non-coding RNA (330 nucleotides) under soil metagenome. RNAcentral's name for it is "partial contains 5.8S ribosomal RNA, internal transcribed spacer 2, and large subunit ribosomal RNA". The stretch from base 2 to 121 matches the Rfam family "5.8S ribosomal RNA", at positions 35 to 154 of the family's 154-position model. The record is from RNAcentral.